CAUCCCGGUUGUGCGCUUCGCAUGGUAUUUCUUGUGACUUUCAAACUAUUCAAUGCUAAAACGCUGUAAUGGACAUGGUAGCGUAAGUAGUGAUCAUUUACUAGCGUUUGGUAAUGUUUUUAGCCGAUACUCGUCAAGUUAUGGCCCAUGAAGGUACUUUUUCCCCCGAAAAUCUCGAAAGUACCCUCAUUUUACGUUAACAAAAUAAAUAAAAUUGGCAACACUGCGUCGAAAAGAUCACGAUGGCCUUUAAUUGCAUUUCAAUACGAUCUCAGGGUAGUAUUCAGCUUGUGGACUGUUGCACUCUUCUGUUUAAUUAUGAUGCACUGGACCAAUAGUCCAGAAUUCCUUGAUUUUAGCGCAUAAAAAUGACAAAUUGGCAACGCUGUACAGCCUAAACGAGGUGUCACUUCAAGUUGAAACUUUGCCUGGAAGUAUGCCUUAACAUAAGCAUUCAUUUGAGCCUUGUCCCGUUGACCAACUCGGGUAUCCAAAAAAGGGGCUAAACUUGGCGAGGCUCUUUCCGACGCAACCGAUGAUUUUUCCAAAAUGCUUUAAAAAACCCAAAUGGUAAAAAUCUUUAAAAUGACUUACACUUGUUCUUGAUGCGGUGCGGUGGUGGUGGUGGUGGUGGGGCUGGAGAUGUGAGUGGGUGUGGGGGUGCGGGGUGGGUGAGGCGGUGCCGAUGCCGGACUCCUCGUGUUCCUCGGGGUCGGCGUUGGUGGAGUUGAGGGUGGAGUAGUCGUCGGCGGAGGCCGAGGCCGAGGAGAGCUCCGAGCAGUCCUCCGAGAGCCACGUCGAGCUCGAGGACCGCGACACCGUCGGCGAGGUCUGCGUCUCCGCGUCGCCCACCACCCGCCCCCCGCCAGUCCCCGUCCCCAGGUCUUGGGCUUGGUUCUUUGGCUGUGGGUGAGGGUGGUGAUCUUGGUGAGGACGGGGUCGUCCUUGUGGCAGGUCGGGAGCUGGGGGCGGCAGUUGCGGACGAGGCGCCCCUGCUUCCGCCCGCCGGCGCCGCUCCCGGAGCUGCUCGUCGAGAUGUCCGAGGUGGAGGGCGACACCGUGGGCGACAUGGAGGGCGAGGGCGACCCCGACGGCGAGGGAGAGCCCGAGGGUGAGGGCGAGGCCCGCUCCGACUUGUAGCGCAUCUCCACGGCGACCUCUUCGUCGGACGUCACGCACACCUCGUCAUAGUCCGGCUCGGACUCGCUCGACGCUCGCUCGGCCGAAAUCGCCGACCUCAGCUCAUUCUCCACAAUGCUCUGCACGUCCGCCAGAAGGAGGUUCGACCACGCUUCCACCUGUCCAAACAAUCCAAAUCAAAUUACGUAAUAUAUUCUCAAAAUGCAAAGAUAUGACAACACUGAAAGAGAAAUUACGGGCUAUAUAGAUAUACCGUCCGUUACAGGCCAGAGACCGGAAGUUCCAAGUGCUGGAGCCGUGGCUUAGACUACUCCGGGUGCUACACCCGGAACUUUUGGCCUCU
This 1483-nucleotide long non-coding RNA is filed under the name Bemisia tabaci. Its description in RNAcentral is "lncRNA ENSSSA2NGG011506". Lineage: Eukaryota; Metazoa; Arthropoda; Insecta; Hemiptera; Aleyrodidae. The record is from RNAcentral.